Molecule: ribosomal RNA, 367 nt
Filed under: uncultured organism
Description: bacterial LSU rRNA
Rfam family: Bacterial large subunit ribosomal RNA
Source: RNAcentral
CUUUACUGUAUCCUGGCAUUGGGCUCUGAUAUGUUAUGCGUAGGAUAGGUGGGAAACGAAGAUCCGUGCGUUCUGGCGUACGGGGAGUUGACGUUGAAAUACCACCCUUAACAUGUUGGGGUUCUAACGGGCUAAGUAAAUGCUUAGUCUGGACAUUGUCAGGGGGGCAGUUUGACUGGGGCGGUCGCCUCCUAAAGAGUAACGGAGGCGCACAAAGGUACCCUCAGUAUGGUUGGCAAUCAUACGUAGAGCGUAAAGGCAAAAGGGUGCUUGACUGCGAGAUGGACACAUCGAGCAGGUACGAAAGUAGGUCUUAGUGAUCCGGUGGUUCUGAGUGGAAGGGCCAUCGCUCAACGGAUAAAAGGUA